CAGAGUACGGGGUGGUGUCUGCGUAAAUACGUUGUGUGUAAUGGUUGUCCGGGGUUGUUGGGCGGAAGUAGCUCGUGGUGGGUGCGGUGAGUUGGUUGUGAAAUCUCCAGGCUCCACCUUGAGGGGUCAUUCGUUGCGUGAGUGACUAGAGUUCGGUAGUGGAGUGUGGAAUUCCUGGGGUAGCGGUGAAAUGCGCAGAUAUCAGGAGGAACACCCGUAGCGAAGGCGGCACUCUGGUCCUAUACUGACACUGAGGAGCGAAAGCGUGGGGAGCGAACAGGAUUAGAUACCCUUGUAGUC
RNAcentral lists this ribosomal RNA (300 nucleotides) under uncultured Luteolibacter sp. Its description in RNAcentral is "bacterial SSU rRNA". It matches the Rfam family "Bacterial small subunit ribosomal RNA", at positions 497 to 795 of the family's 1533-position model. The record is from RNAcentral. Lineage: Bacteria; Pseudomonadati; Verrucomicrobiota; Verrucomicrobiia; Verrucomicrobiales; Verrucomicrobiaceae.